CUGCACCCGGCAAGGGCUGCGCUUCUCCCGGCCCAGGAAGGGCCCUUCCCUUCCCGCCCCGGCCCCCUGGCUCCGCCCCGGUGCGCCCGCCUCAGGCUCCGCCGCCAUGCCGGGCGGUGCGCGGGGCCUGUACCGGCGGAUCCUGCUGCUGCACCGGGCGCUGCCGGCCGCGCUGCGGGCGCUGGGGGACCGCUACGUGAAGGAGGAGUUCAGGAAGCAUAAGGCCGCCGGGCCCGCCGAGGCCCAGCGCUUCCUGCGGGAAUGGGAGCUGUUGGAAUUACCCAAAUGGGUCAGAAAACCGAACUGUCUGAUGCAAGAAAAAAAUGUUAACAAGGAUAAUCAAAUAACCUGUCACAUCUAUGCUCACAAUUUAUUCUGUAAAGGGGCAAAUCUAUCUGGAAGAAGCAAGGAUUAACGUGAGCCACUUGCCUAUCUCACACCACCAACCUUUGCAGCAAAGCGAACUGUGAAAUCCUGCCUGCACCACUUGGCAUCACUGGCCUUCUGCCACAAGAAACAAAAGAAAGACAAGCCAGUGCAAAAUGAGGGCUGCAGUAUUCACAUCAGGAAAGAAGUAAAUAAUAUGUUCUGCUUUCCUCAGUAUUAGUUCAGCCACAGCAGAAUUUUGCCCACAAGACACUCAGACAUCACGGAGACAGUGCUGCAAAAAGACUUGGGCAGACAGACGAAUUGACAGUUUUGCUCCAAUGUGCAUUUGUGGCUCCAGUUCUUGACCAAGGAUCCUCUUUGGGACAAAGCAGGUCUCGUGCCCAGUGGAGUACAAUGUUGGGAGGGAUGUGGUCCAUGAGCUGGGAAGCAGGGCUGGCUUUCCCACAAAGCGCAGUCUACACCACCACGAGCGGUUUGCGGCAGAGCUGAAGGAAGCAGAGUUUGCAGAAAAAAAGUGUUGUGCUCAGGUGUGGAAGCCCAUGAAUGCACUGAAGGGAGAACAUGUGGAGGCAAACAAGUUCUCCUGGGGGCAGUGAGCAGUUUUUCUCUCCAAUGGAUGUCAUGACAAAGAGCCUUCUACGCUCACUAGCUGCAAACAAAUCUGACUCUGCUAGAUUUUUCACCCCAUUGCUUCCACAGGACUGAUACCUUGCUUGUGACCGUGCAUUACUGCAGUGGAGUUUGCCGGUAUGGACAGAGCUCCCGAGUCCCUUUGGUGAAUGAAUGGGGAGCAGCCCCCUUACAGUGUGAGUAAGGAUGCAUCUUCCCCAUAACAUUGAGCUUCAGGAGAUCUAACAUAUCACAAAAGAGACUGAAACACCAUUGUGAUGACACGCUGUAAGGAUUAGCAUACAAUUAAAUCAGUUUCUGGGUUUGUGGCAUCUAUUGAAAGACAGAUAUAGAGUUACAAUUAUUAAAACAAUUUUGUUUACUGUUAUUAUUUCCGUUUUAAAAUGGAAAACUUUAUCCUAUUUAGUCUUUGAGUUGGUGGCUCUGAGCAUCUCAUGAGCUUCAUACUGAAGACUUUGUGGAAAGAGCAGAUCUUCAAACAACAGUCAAGGACGUGAUCAAGUCUAAUAAGUGCCUUUUCUGCUAACUAACUUGCUUUUCAUGUUGUGCUUCCUUGAUAAGCUACGCUACGCCUUCAAAGGCACCCUUCUAUUUGUAUCUGUUUUUCAGGCUUCCCUCUUAUUUUAUUUUUCAGCCAUUGUAGUUAAACUCUUUGGAGCAGGUCCCACUGACACUAGGUACUGCAACAUGCUCUGCUAGUGAAUGGCAAGGCAGAGAGUACUGAACACUCAAACACAACUCUGGGCAAAACACAAUGUGUUUUCAGGUUGUUCGGACAUUUUUGCUCUAAGAUAUGUAUUUCAUAAAAAGCUGCACAGAUUGGAGUUUAUUUCUUUUCCAUUAUUCAUGUGCACUAGAGACAUCCUGCCUGAAGAAGGCUUAUUGAACAAAACUGAUUCCCCCCAAUGUGCACAGCAUGGGAACAGUCUCCUGAGUGACAGAGGAAUAUACAAAUAACAGCUUGGCAUUAAACUCAGUUUUCUUUGUUUGUUCACAAUAAAAUAAGUUGUGAAGGGCUAAGAUGUAUUGGUUUUCUAAACAACAGUUUCAUGGAAUCCUGGCAGAACUACUUUUUUAUUUUUCUUGUACUUUCAACCUGAGGCAGGAGCAGCUCCUGGUUUUAGGUUUCAGACAAGUCCUCACAAGGCAUGUGUUGGUUAUUGUCAGUCUGAUGGGCCACAUGGUCAUCCGGGGCUGUCUCCUGAACACCAGGGAGAACUUCAAGAGAAAAGCUUGCAAACCUUGUUGUCAGUAAGGUUUAUCAUGGUGUCUCUCUCACCACCUCCUCUCCUGUCUUUGUUCACUGACAAGAUGCAUGUUCUUUUCAAAGACCACAGCCUACUUAGUGUUUAGAACAGAUGUAAAACAAAGCGGGGUGCGGUGGUUCCUAGAACAACCUCUGGCAAACUAGAAAUGAGGUUUUGCAGUGCAGUGAACCGCAGCUGCUUCAGUGCAUGGCGAAGUACAGCACAUGGGGUCUGUCUCCAGCUGCAGACAGCACUGUGUCUCUGGGACAUGGGUUUAUAGAUUGUUUGUAGUUCAGGCCAACAUCUCCAAAUCAUGUUGCUUAAAGAUACAGCACAUAGUUGCUUUAUUAAGUUAUCAAGACUUACAAACUAUUAUUAAGUUUCUAAAUAAUUUUGGAACUUUCAUAAACCUCCAACCAGAGAGGUUGCAUUUGCAGUAACUCCCAUUCAUUUAUUUGCAAAGUGUUCACAUUCAGCAGGUGUGAAAUCCAGGCCACUUUUGAUUUAAAGUCAGUUCAGGAGCCUAAUUUUAGAUAUUGACUUCAAUUUCAUAUUACACAAAAGACAGACAUCUCCCUUGAAAUCCUCUCAUUGUUAGUCAGAUGAAGCCUGCCCCACUAAAGUAAUUUGCUCCUACAUAGUGUUAGAAAAGGUCCUCCUUUUCUGACCAGAGUUCUAUACAAAGGUCAAGCUCAAAUGUAAAGCAUUUAUUUCUCUGCAUCAAACUAAAUGUGACAAGAGAAGCUAUUACUCAUCACAGUUCCAGGUGAAAGAAGAUUUUCUUCAGUAAUUUGAGCAUAGGCAUCUCCAAACCUCUAGCAGAAAUGCCAAAUGAUAUGUUUUCUGUAUAUAUGAAUAAGCAUAUGAACUGCUAAAAGUGACUUAGAAAAUAUUGUUAUCAAGUCAGUAGGUGCUGUUAUUCAACAGGAUGUUGUCUGAGUUGCAUGCACAUAAGGUUUCAACUUCUUCUCAGCUUCUGGGCCUCAGAACUCUGUGGGUGGUAAUCUCUUCAUCAAUAUUUCCAACAACAUUGCCCAGUACAUUAGCGCAGAUUUCUCUUACUGUGAAACACUUGUGUAAAGAAAUACCAGGUUUCAGUCUUGCCUGUUCAAGAUCUUAGUAGCAACAGAAAAUGUGUUCUUAUAAAUUGCAAAUAAAGUGACUAAAUUGUG
This is an RNA transcript of Columba livia (rock pigeon), 3439 nucleotides long. It is a transcript of the gene named succinate dehydrogenase complex assembly factor 3, with no coding region annotated. Lineage: Eukaryota; Metazoa; Chordata; Aves; Columbiformes; Columbidae. The transcript has 6 exons. The record is from RefSeq and is a predicted model, not a curated record.